UACGGGGGAGCAAGCGUUGUUCGGAUUUACUGGGCGUAAAGGGCGCGUAGGCGGUCGUGACAAGUCACUUGUGAAAUCUCCGGGCUUAACUCGGAACGGUCAAGUGAUACUGUCGGACUAGAGUACAGAAGGGGCAACUGGAAUUCUCGGUGUAGCGGUGAAAUGCGUAGAUAUCGAGAGGAACACCUGCGGCGAAGGCGGGUUGCUGGGCCGACACUGACGCUGAUGCGCGAAAGCCCAGGGGAGCGAAACGGG
Molecule: ribosomal RNA, 255 nt
Filed under: uncultured bacterium
Lineage: Bacteria
Description: partial 16S ribosomal RNA
Rfam family: Bacterial small subunit ribosomal RNA
Source: RNAcentral